CAGCCUCAAUAUCACCUGAAAAGUUACUAGAAAUGAAGAUUCUUGGGUCGCAUUCCAGACUCACUGGCUCAGAAGUUCUGGGAGUGGGGGCCGGCCUCACUGUGCUUGACAAGCCCUGCUGGUGAUUCUAACACACACCAAUCUAGGAGAACCUCGGCCUGCAGAGCCAAGCCUGGGGGAUGCAGUGGAAGAGAACCAGGUCCUAUUUGCCUGUGGUCAAGACCAUCUAAGAACAUCAAGGCCUUACAGAAAUAAGGGACUUGAGAAGGGUCAGAGAAAGAAAAGCAGCUCCUCUGGCAGACAAGGAGGGCAGGACAUCAGAAGUGGCUGAGAAAAAACACCCCCAGCUCUGGGUCAUGAGAAGAGGACUGAAGUCAAUCCCGGUGGUAAGACCACGCAGGCGCUUUGAGGGAGACCUAAUAU
Molecule: long non-coding RNA, 423 nt
Filed under: Ictidomys tridecemlineatus (thirteen-lined ground squirrel)
Lineage: Eukaryota; Metazoa; Chordata; Mammalia; Rodentia; Sciuridae
Description: lncRNA (ENSSTOG00000030848.1)
Source: RNAcentral